Pieris brassicae (large cabbage white) is the source of this 389-nucleotide long non-coding RNA. RefSeq lists it as uncharacterized. Lineage: Eukaryota; Metazoa; Arthropoda; Insecta; Lepidoptera; Pieridae. The record is from RefSeq and is a predicted model, not a curated record. The transcript has 2 exons.
AAAUACCAUAUUUAACUUGCACGUUUAAAAUGUUUACGUUAGUAUAAAAGACAAAACUAUCACAAACACUUCACAGAACCAUACAAAAUGAAGUUAAUUCUAUUUUUCUUGAUCGUAUCAAUUUCCGCUGUUCUUAGCGAGGAAGUUUUAAAGAAACCUAACGUUAUGUGCAUAAUAACAGCUAUUGUUAAUUUCGCAAAAUGCCUGAAACAAGGUAACAGGUUCCUUUUCAAUUCGAGCGAAAGUAUGGAGUUCGAUCCGAGUCCAGUUUCAGAAUGUGUCUCAAAGUUGGUAGAAGAACUUACGGCUUGUGUGUAAUUCGAUAAUAACAUGGCGAUCGCAUUAUAUUCUGCAAUUUGAACAUUGAAAAUAAAUGUCUCAUUAAGCAA